This 395-nucleotide ribosomal RNA is filed under the name uncultured bacterium. RNAcentral describes it as "bacterial SSU rRNA". It matches the Rfam family "Bacterial small subunit ribosomal RNA", at positions 37 to 433 of the family's 1533-position model. The record is from RNAcentral.
UAGCGGGAGGNCUNACNNAUGCAAGCCGAGCGGUAUUGUUUCUUCGGAAAUGAGAGAGCGGCGUACGGGUGCGGAACACGUGUGCAACCUGCCUUUAUCUGGGGGAUAGCCUUUCGAAAGGAAGAUUAAUACUCCAUAACAUAUUGAUUGGCAUCAAUUAAUAUUGAAAGCUCCGGCGGAUAGAGAUGGGCACGCGCAAGAUUAGCUAGUUGGUGAGGUAACGGCUCACCAAGGCGAUGAUCUUUAGGGGGGCUGAGAGGGUGAUCCCCCACACUGGUACUGAGACACGGACCAGACUCCUACGGGAGGNAGCAGUGAGGAAUAUUGGUCAAUGGGUGCAAGCCUGAACCAGCCAUCCCGCGUGAAGGACGACUGCCCUAUGGGUUGUAAACUUC